CCUACGGGGGGCGGCAGUGAGGAAUUUUGCGCAAUGGGCGAAAGCCUGACGCAGCAACGCCGCGUGCGGGAUGAAGGCCCUCGGGUCGUAAACCGCUUUCAGCAGGGACGAAAAUGACUGUACCUGCAGAAGAAGCCCCGGCUAAAUACGUGCCAGCAGCCCCGGUC
This 167-nucleotide ribosomal RNA is filed under the name uncultured bacterium. Its description in RNAcentral is "partial 16S rRNA". It matches the Rfam family "Bacterial small subunit ribosomal RNA", at positions 338 to 522 of the family's 1533-position model. The record is from RNAcentral.